This 421-nucleotide ribosomal RNA is filed under the name uncultured bacterium. Its description in RNAcentral is "bacterial SSU rRNA". It matches the Rfam family "Bacterial small subunit ribosomal RNA", at positions 355 to 773 of the family's 1533-position model. The record is from RNAcentral.
UGAGGAAUAUUGGUCAAUGGGGGCAACCCUGAACCAGCCAAGUCGCGUGAAGGAUGAAGGUCUUAUGGAUUGUAAACUUCUUUUAUACAGGAAUAAAUUGGGGGACGUGUCCCCUUCUGCAUGUACUGUAUGAAUAAGGAUCGGCUAACUCCGUUCCAGCAGCCGCGGUAAUACGGAGGAUCCGAGCGUUAUCCGGAUUUACUGGGUUUAAAGGGUGCGUAGGUGGGCUUAUAAGGCAGUGGUGAAAUCUCCGAGCUUAACUUGGAAACUGCCGUUGAUACUAUAGGUCUUGAAUUAUCUGGAGGUAAGCGGAAUAUGUCAAGUAGCGGUGAAAUGCUUAGAUAUGACAUAGUACACCAAUUGCGAAGGCAGCUUACUACAUAUAAAUUGACGCUGAGGCACGAAAGCGUGGGGAUCAAAC